CGACAGGCUUAACACAUGCAAGUCGAGGGGCAGCGGGGAGUGGCAACACUCCGCCGGCGACCGGCGCACGGGUGAGUAACGCGUAUGCAACCUGCCCAUGAGUGGGGGAUAGCCCAUCGAAAGAUGGAUUAAUACCCCAUGACACAGGGGUCCCGCAUGGGGAUAUUUGUUAAAGGAGCGAUCCGCUGAUGGAUGGGCAUGCGUCCUAUUAGGUGGUUGGCGGGGUAACGGCCCACCAAGCCGACGAUAGGUAGGGGUUCUGAGAGGAAGGUCCCCCACAUUGGUACUGAGACACGGACCAAACUCCUACGGGAGGCAGCAGUGAGGAAUAUUGGUCAAUGGGCGAUGGCCUGAACCAGCCAAGUCGCGUGAGGGAUGAAGGGUCUAUGGCUUGUAAACCUCUUUUACAAGGGAAUAAAGUCGGGGACGUGUCCCCGUUUGCAUGUACCUUGUGAAUAAGCGUCGGCUAACUCCGUGCCAGCAGCCGCGGUAAUACGGAGGAUGCGAGCGUUAUCCGGAUUUAUUGGGUUUAAAGGGUGCGUAGGUGGCCGUUUAAGUCUGUGGUGAAAUCCCGUGGCUCAACCAUGGAACCGCCGUGGAAACUGGAUGGCUUGAGUACGUUUGGGGCAGGCGGAAUGCGUGGUGUAGCGGUGAAAUGCAUAGAUAUCACGCAGAACCCCGAUCGCGAAGGCAGCCUGCCAAGCCGUGACUGACACUGAUGCACGAAAGCGUGGGUAUCGAACAGGAUUAGAUACCCUGGUAGUCCACGCAGUAAACGAUGAUCACUGGGGGUUUGCGAUAGACAGUAAGCCCCUGAGCGAAAGCGUUAAGUGAUCCACCUGGGGAGUACGCCGGCAACGGUGAAACUCAAAGGAAUUGACGGGGGCCCGCACAAGCGGAGGAACAUGUGGUUUAAUUCGAUGAUACGCGAGGAACCUUACCCGGGUUUGAACGUGGUUGGACAGUCCUUGAAAGAGGAUCUCUAGCGAUAGCCGACCACGAGGUGCUGCAUGGUUGUCGUCAGCUCGUGCCGUGAGGUGUCGGCUUAAGUGCCAUAACGAGCGCAACCCUCGCCGCCAGUUGCCAGCAGGUAGAGCUGGGGACUCUGGCGGGACUGCCAGCGUAAGCUGCGAGGAAGGCGGGGAUGA
This 1148-nucleotide ribosomal RNA is filed under the name uncultured bacterium. Its description in RNAcentral is "bacterial SSU rRNA". It matches the Rfam family "Bacterial small subunit ribosomal RNA", at positions 40 to 1182 of the family's 1533-position model. The record is from RNAcentral.